ACAUCCACACCUUUCAGCCGACAAUUACCUGGCUAUAAGAAACAGCUGCGCUUCACUACUGAGAGAAGGCAUUUGGCAGUCUUGGCAAUCUAAGGUGGCUGCAGCACUAGGCAGUUGAGCUCCACAUAUCUCUUAAGGAAAGCUACUCAGUUGCCCUUAGAGUGUGAGCUCCCUCAUCUGUCGCUCAUCGUGAUGAUAUGCAUUCCCAUUAUGGCUUCCAACCCAGUGCCAAAGAACCCUAUACAAGAGCUUAAAGAGGAAAUGAAGAAGAACUUGGAAGCAUCUCUCUGCGAACUAGAAAGGGCAACAAAUAAUUAUUGCAAAGACGCAGGUCUGCCACUCAACUCAACCAACACAGGGAAACUUAAAGGACAAACUUGGGGAAUGGGAAACGAAAUUGAAAUCAAGAAGUCCAUCUGUGCCAUUGUGGACUGCCUCAAAAGCCUGCCAGCAUUCGUCAAGGAUGUAAUUGGGGACCACAAGGAUAAAAAAGUCACCAAGAACACAAAUGCGUUCCUUAAACGGUUCAGCUUGACUGUUGCGCAGACAGAUUUCGCUGGUGCCCCCCAGCAACAGUGCAGGACAGAUUUAAACACUUCAGACACUUACAAUAAGAAAACCACUAUCUUCGGUAUUUUAAAAAACAGCAUGAUAUGGGUGAAAAAUUUCACACAGAUGGAGCCGUCCUGUUAAUGUUUUCAUUAACCUUUUAGGCAAAAUGUAAGACUUUUUUAAAAUAUUUAUUUUCCUAUUUAUUUAUUUAUUUAAAUAUUUUUUUGUAUUUAUUAGUUAAUUAUUAUCUUUUGCCUGUAUUUAUUUUAUUUAUAUCGAAUGAUGUGUAAUGUUUUAUGGCUGGUCCAUUCUGACUGGAUAAUGUAUUCUACCACAUGUGCAGUUUAAAAACAUUACCUGACAUAAUAAAAUGUUCAGCUCAGACCAUGAA
Molecule: long non-coding RNA, 943 nt
Organism: Oreochromis niloticus (Nile tilapia)
Lineage: Eukaryota; Metazoa; Chordata; Actinopteri; Cichliformes; Cichlidae
Exons: 3
Source: RefSeq, a predicted model, not a curated record